This 138-nucleotide small RNA is filed under the name Arabidopsis thaliana (thale cress). RNAcentral describes it as "ATSL279630". Lineage: Eukaryota; Viridiplantae; Streptophyta; Magnoliopsida; Brassicales; Brassicaceae. The record is from RNAcentral.
AAUUAAAAUUCAGUGGCAGCCAUUGUAAAUAAGUCUCAACUUUAGGAUUUAUUUCACAAAAUGGUUAAAAAAUGUAUAUGUAGAUCACCAAUUACGAAAAUAAACUAAUAAACAUUGUGAAUUCAAACAAUUAAUCUU